Molecule: ribosomal RNA, 462 nt
Filed under: Polybrachia sp. HRV-2001
Lineage: Eukaryota; Metazoa; Annelida; Polychaeta; Sabellida; Siboglinidae
Description: partial 16S ribosomal RNA
Rfam family: Bacterial large subunit ribosomal RNA
Source: RNAcentral
CUGCCCUAUGAAUUUAAUUUAAAUGGCCGCAGUAUCUUAACUGUGCAAAGGUAGCAUAAUCAUUUGCCUUUUAAUUAAAGGCUUGUAUGAAUGAAUUUACGAAAAUUUAACUGUCUCAUUUUAACAUAUAAAAAUUAAUCUUAAAGUGAAAAAGCUUUAAUUAAUUUAACGGACAAGAAGACCCUAUUGAGCUUUAUUCUAAAUUAUUUAAAAAUAAUAUAUUUAAAUAAAUUUAUAAGUAAUUAAAAUUUAGUUGGGGCGACUAAAGAAAAAUAAUAUCUUCUUUUUACUUUUAGGAAAAUAAUCCUUUUUUAAGAUCUAAUAUAUUAAAUAAUAAAAAAAGCUACCAUAGGGAUAACAGUCUAAUCUUUCUUUAAAGUUCAAAUUAACAGAAAGGAUUGGCACCUCGAUGUUGGCUUAAGAUUUCUUUAUUAUGUAGCAGUAAUAAUAGUAGGUUUGUUC